Long non-coding RNA from Gasterosteus aculeatus aculeatus (three-spined stickleback), 2557 nucleotides. NCBI's taxonomy places the organism in Eukaryota, Metazoa, Chordata, Actinopteri, Perciformes, Gasterosteidae. The record is from Ensembl.
GAGAGUGAGGAGUACGUAGACAGGAUUAAACCGGUUUAUGAGUCAUCCCAACCAGAAGAACACCCCUCCCCAAAAAACACUUGUGGACACACACACACACACACCCACACACAGUGAAAUAGCACAGAAGGCCUCUCUAGGCUUUGGGCCUGGUGCACACAGUGAUGUGUUAAUGGCGGCGCAGGUUUCCUGCUACUUUCACUACACGUCACCAUCACUUCUUUAUAACAGCUUCUUGCACAAUCCUCACGGUCACCAAACCUACAUGUACUUAAACCAAGUAUACUUGUACUUGUACAGCGUCUUUCUAGUAUCCCGACCGCUCCGAGCGCUUUAACACUACAUGUCAUCCUUCAUACACUGAUUACAGCAGCUACGGUGCACAGCGCCGCCUGCCCAUCAGGAACUAUCAUCUACGUAGUCACAGCUACAGGAGCAUGCGGCUAGAAGGGCCCGGGGUCGAACCGCCGAUCCUCUGAUUGGAGGACGGCCGUGCUUCUCACUUAUAGUAGAUCUUUUAUGACAAGGACAUUGUCCUCAAAAAGAGGACAAGUCCCCACAAUUUUACUGUGCACAGGUCCAUGUCCCACAACACGAGUAAUACAUUGUAGUAAGUAUUUAAUAUUUUCGUGUAUGAUGCCGGUUGAAUUGCGUGUGUGUGUGUGUGUGUGUGUGUGUGUGUGUGUGUGUGAGUGUGUGUGUGAGUGUGUGUGUGUGUGUGUGUGUGUGUGUGUGUGUGUGUGUGUUCAGUUUUGACCAAAUCCCCAUGUAAUGUUUAUUCUAAUGAGGUUUACGGUCCCCACCGCUGGACUCCCAUGUAACAAAGCCAGAGACAGUGAAGACAUUUCUAUCUACAGCAGGGGAGCGUCACUUCGCUCCUGCUGCAGGUGGAAAGUACCUUUCCUUCCCUUCUGGGAAAACCAGCCUUUUACGGGAAUCAGAUCUCAUGAGAACAGAAAAGUAGGACCGAGUGCGCCCUCUCCCCAGGACGGCCAAACCGUUCGCCCGACCACCAGCCGGUUCUCGUUGUAUUUCUUUAUUUCGAUAAGCCGCUCUGAUUAUCGCUAUGUUAACGCAUGCUAAUGCUAAGGCAAUAGUGGGACAUGUGUAUCGGCAUAAAUAAAUAAGCAGAGCGGGUGCGCUCUGUCCGCUGGCUUCCGUCGGUUACCAAAACAUUGCUCAAAUGACCCGUUUCAGACUUAAUCAACAUAGAAUGCCUUUGUGUUCAUUACUAAAGCCUCACAUUAAGACAUACGUCACUUUAUUUAAGACGCUGUGCUACUUGCGAGUGGCUGUGAUCUGCUAGAUUGUCACUAAAGUUAGAAAAAAGCAUGUACGGCAAACCCACGGUCACGAAGAUACUCAUUUAACGUGACAUGGUAUUUGCGUGUCGUUAAAACACCCAACUGAGAUCGACUUAUGCCGUUCUGAAAAAGGAACCUGCCACCGACCACUUUUCGCACUCGGCGUCACUCAGAAAGUAUCCAUUCAACUUUGUUGAUUUCCCGUGUCAGAUUAUUAUUUUACCACGUGAAUACUGUGAUUUGCAUUGAUUUCACUCUCACCGCACCACGCUAGUUUCUGAGUAACAUGUCGGUUCAUCUGGAGACACGCACGUAUCUAACUUGUCGUUACCACGUCUGUUUUAUUCUGGUUUAUUCUCGAUUUUCAAUUGAAUGCCUCAAGUUUGGUUUCGCUUUAGAUCUUUAGUCUUUUCGCGCAAACAUAUUUAAUACUUACCGAUAAGGACGAAGAAGAUCCGUAACUUGCUAUAAAUCAUCUUUAGGCCAAUGUGCGCGGAACUUCAGUUCAGCAGGAUGUUAACAUCUGGCAGCCUUCGAUAGAGUGUUCGGCGAGACGCGGGAUGGGGUGAUUUAUAGCUGCCCGCCUCCUGCAAACCCGUGACAACAGGUUUACCGUAAAUGAUUUUGUUUUAACUCUUGAGAAAUUAACGUCACCACAACACAUGCCGCGCCUUUAAACCAGAUCCAAAAAGGCAGUGGCGGAUCUAGAAAAUUUUACAUGGGGGGGCAAAGGGGUGGCAAGAGGUCUUGGCAGGGUGGCAGGGAUGACGGUACAUAGGAAUCCCUAUAUGUGAAUUGCUUCAACAAAACAAACACAAAAACACUUUUAAACUUAAGGUUUUUAAUUCACAACAUGAAUGAAACAUUUGUUCAAACAAAACAAAGCUGCAAUUUUUACUUUGUCUCAAGAGUAUAAUAGUUAAAAAAAAAAAAGAAGUCAUAUUUACCUGAGCCCUUACUGUCUAACAGGGGGCCUCGGACAUAUCAAAAUUGAAUAAAGUGAUCAAACUGCGUGCACUGCAUAAAUUAUUCAUUAAAUAUAGACUAAUCAUUAUUUAAGCUACAAAAGUUCUUUAGUCAAGAGCAGUAAGAAAUGUUCUGUUGUUUUUGUUCUUAGCUUUACUGACAGAACGCUUUAGUGCAUAGGUCACUAACUGGCGGACCGCGGUCCGGGUCCGGACCCAGAGGCCGUCCCAUCCGGACCCGGACUGCCAGCCAAAACAGAAGGUUGUCAUUUUGACAGACUGACGGCG